GCUGAUGUCAAGUUCAUCUUGUGAAGGUAUCGCACAGAAGAGCGUCGACUGAGCCUCUCAUGGCUCAGUCUUCACCUUCAUCUACCUUGGCUCAUUGCCUUGGAGCCAAAGUCCUGGCCGAACAGUCCUUUUGUGAAGCUAUGGCCUUGUCAUUGUCGAGUCAUCUCUUACCUAAGCCAAGAUGGUAGUUGUGCUGUACAAAUCCGCAUGCUCACUCAACGGGCGGACACUUAGUCGAGACUCGGCCAAAAGAUGCUUAUAAGGCCAUAGAAAAAGUUGCGUGCCGCUCUUUGCGCGCUCCCGCGUAUACCUCAGAUGAUUACUAGGUGUGUAUCAGCCGAGGGCAUUGACUUGAAAAGCUAGGCAAUUCGACACCAGAUAAUGUUCGGCUUAGGCACCCAGUCAGGCUUGCUGGGAUGUCUACCGGGCUUGAUGAUGGCAUAAGCAAAGGAAUAUUUUCCACACAAGACGUCACCAGCGUCUCUCGACCCGUUUGGGAGGUCUGACGAAGCUCCUGUCCAAGAAUAUCGCGAUGAUUCACGACAUCGACGAAUUAGCAGUUACAUAUACUACAAGUACAGUAC
Molecule: non-coding RNA, 584 nt
Organism: Neurospora crassa OR74A
Lineage: Eukaryota; Fungi; Ascomycota; Sordariomycetes; Sordariales; Sordariaceae
Source: RefSeq, a predicted model, not a curated record